ACUCCUACGGGAGGCAGCAGUGGGGAAUAUUGGACAAUGGGCGCAAGCCUGAUCCAGCCAUGCCGCGUGAGUGAUGAAGGCCCUAGGGUUGUAAAGCUCUUUCACCGGAGAAGAUAAUGACGGUAUCCGGAGAAGAAGCCCCGGCUAACUUCGUGCCAGCAGCCGCGGUAAUACGAAGGGGGCUAGCGUUGUUCGGAAUUACUGGGCGUAAAGCGCACGUAGGCGGAUCGAUCAGUCAGGGGUGAAAUCCCAGGGCUCAACCCUGGAACUGCCUUUGAUACUGUCGAUCUGGAGUAUGGAAGAGGUGAGUGGAAUUCCGAGUGUAGAGGUGAAAUUCGUAGAUAUUCGGAGGAACACCAGUGGCGAAGGCGGCUCACUGGUCCAUUACUGACGCUGAGGUGCGAAAGCGUGGGGAGCAAACAGGAUUAGAUACCCCGUGUAGUCCCAUG
This 449-nucleotide ribosomal RNA is filed under the name uncultured organism. RNAcentral describes it as "partial 16S ribosomal RNA". It matches the Rfam family "Bacterial small subunit ribosomal RNA", at positions 335 to 799 of the family's 1533-position model. The record is from RNAcentral.